This is a long non-coding RNA of Sebastes umbrosus (honeycomb rockfish), 540 nucleotides long. RefSeq lists it as uncharacterized. Lineage: Eukaryota; Metazoa; Chordata; Actinopteri; Perciformes; Sebastidae. The record is from RefSeq and is a predicted model, not a curated record. The transcript has 4 exons.
ACGUGCGGAUGCGUCAACUUGUUCAACGUGCUUCGAGCUGCAGAAGACAGACGAGCAAACAAACUGAUCAAUUAACGGAUUUAAUCAACUUUAAACCUUGAAAACACACUUUGUUUGACUUCUGAUGGACUCAAAGGACUUCAGUUUGAUGACUGAUGACAUUCAAGUGCUGCUGAUUGGAUGACGUCAUGUCACCUGGUUACACCUGCAGAGCAGCACAGUCACGUUUGAUGACUGGAAGGAGCAUCGUGUUACCUGGAUACACCUGCAGAGCCGGACAGUCACGAUUGAAGCUGACGUCUGUGGGAGUGGAUUAAAGGGGCUGGUUUCGUAUUUCGUGUUUCGUGUCGAUAUCCAUCAUCGGAUCAGUGUUCGGAUCACCGCGGACGGAGAGCCACGCGCUCUGCAGGGAUUUCUAUUUUUCACGCGUAAUUACGCACGGUGCGUCUCCGUCCAGCCGGAUCACAUCAUAACAUCAUAUUCAAUCACAAAUAAUAUUCAAUGUCUGUUUUUAUAUCAAUAAAACCAUCAAACCCUGAA